GGGUUGUGAGGUUAAGCGACUAAGCGUACACGGUGGAUGCCCUGGCAGUCAGAGGCGAUGAAGGACGUGCUAAUCUGCGAUAAGCGCCGGUAAGGUGAUAUGAACCGUUAUAACCGGCGAUUUCCGAAUGGGGAAACCCAGUGUGAUUCGUCACACUAUCAUUAACUGAAUCCAUAGGUUAAUGAGGCGAACCGGGGGAACUGAAACAUCUAAGUACCCCGAGGAAAAGAAAUCAACCGAGAUUCCCCCAGUAGCGGCGAGCGAACGGGGAGGAGCCCAGAGCCUGAAUCAGCAUGUGUGUUAGUGGAAGCGUCUGGAAAGGUGCGCGAUACAGGGUGACAGCCCCGUACACAAAAGCGCAUGUGCUGUGAGCUCGAUGAGUAGGGCGGGACACGUGGUAUCCUGUCUGAAUAUGGGGGGACCAUCCUCCAAGGCUAAAUACUCCUGACUGACCGAUAGUGAACCAGUACCGUGAGGGAAAGGCGAAAAGAACCCCGGCGAGGGGAGUGAAAAAGAACCUGAAACCGUGUACGUACAAGCAGUGGGAGCACAGGUUUACCUGUGUGACUGCGUACCUUUUGUAUAAUGGGUCAGCGACUUAUAUUCUGUAGCAAGGUUAACCGUAUAGGGGAGCCGUAGGGAAACCGAGUCUUAACCGGGCGUUAAGUUGCAGGGUAUAGACCCGAAACCCGGUGAUCUAGCCAUGGGCAGGUUGAAGGUUGGGUAACACUAACUGGAGGACCGAACCGACUAAUGUUGAAAAAUUAGCGGAUGACCUGUGGCUGGGGGUGAAAGGCCAAUCAAACCGGGAGAUAGCUGGUUCUCCCCGAAAGCUAUUUAGGUAGCGCCUCGUGAAUUCAUCUCCGGGGGUAGAGCACUGUUUCGGCUAGGGGGCCAUCCCGGCUUACCAACCCGAUGCAAACUGCGAAUACCGGAGAAUGUUAUCACGGGAGACACACGGCGGGUGCUAACGUCCGUCGUGAAGAGGGAAACAACCCAGACCGCCAGCUAAGGUCCCAAAGUCAUGGUUAAGUGGGAAACGAUGUGGGAAGGCCCAGACAGCCAGGAUGUUGGCUUAGAAGCAGCCAUCAUUUAAAGAAAGCGUAAUAGCUCACUGGUCGAGUCGGCCUGCGCGGAAGAUGUAACGGGGCUAAACCAUGCACCGAAGCUGCGGCAGCGAACGUAUCACCCAAGACAACUUUACGGAGUUGACGAUUGACGGAGCGAAGCGACGUCAAAGCGUUCAUUAAAGUCGAGUUGGCUUAGGGAUACGUUCGUUGGGUAGGGGAGCGUUCUGUAAGCCUGUGAAGGUGUGUCGUGAGGCAUGCUGGAGGUAUCAGAAGUGCGAAUGCUGACAUAAGUAACGAUAAAGCGGGUGAAAAGCCCGCUCGCCGGAAGACCAAGGGUUCCUGUCCAACGUUAAUCGGGGCAGGGUGAGUCGACCCCUAAGGCGAGGCCGAAAGGCGUAGUCGAUGGGAAACGGGUUAAUAUUCCCGUACUUGGUGUUACUGCGAAGGGGGGACGGAGAAGGCUAUGUUGGCCGGGCGACGGUUGUCCCGGUUUAAGCGUGUAGGUGUGUGUUCCAGGUAAAUCCGGUUCACUUUAACACUGAGGCGUGACGACGAGGCACUACGGUGCUGAAGCAACAAAUGCCCUGCUUCCAGGAAAAGCCUCUAAGCAUCAGGUAACACGAAAUCGUACCCCAAACCGACACAGGUGGUCAGGUAGAGAAUACCAAGGCGCUUGAGAGAACUCGGGUGAAGGAACUAGGCAAAAUGGUGCCGUAACUUCGGGAGAAGGCACGCUGACACGUAGGUGAAGUGAUUUACUCAUGGAGCUGAAGUCAGUCGAAGAUACCAGCUGGCUGCAACUGUUUAUUAAAAACACAGCACUGUGCAAACACGAAAGUGGACGUAUACGGUGUGACGCCUGCCCGGUGCCGGAAGGUUAAUUGAUGGGGUCAGCGUAAGCGAAGCUCCUGAUCGAAGCCCCGGUAAACGGCGGCCGUAACUAUAACGGUCCUAAGGUAGCGAAAUUCCUUGUCGGGUAAGUUCCGACCUGCACGAAUGGCGUAAUGAUGGCCAGGCUGUCUCCACCCGAGACUCAGUGAAAUUGAACUCGCUGUGAAGAUGCAGUGUACCCGCGGCAAGACGGAAAGACCCCGUGAACCUUUACUAUAGCUUGACACUGAACAUUGAGCCUUGAUGUGUAGGAUAGGUGGGAGGCUUUGAAGUGUGGACGCCAGUCUGCAUGGAGCCGACCUUGAAAUACCACCCUUUAAUGUUUGAUGUUCUAACGUGGACCCGUAAUCCGGGUUGCGGACAGUGUCUGGUGGGUAGUUUGACUGGGGCGGUCUCCUCCUAAAGAGUAACGGAGGAGCACGAAGGUUGGCUAAUCCUGGUCGGACAUCAGGAGGUUAGUGCAAUGGCAUAAGCCAGCUUGACUGCGAGCGUGACGGCGCGAGCAGGUGCGAAAGCAGGUCAUAGUGAUCCGGUGGUUCUGAAUGGAAGGGCCAUCGCUCAACGGAUAAAAGGUACUCCGGGGAUAACAGGCUGAUACCGCCCAAGAGUUCAUAUCGACGGCGGUGUUUGGCACCUCGAUGUCGGCUCAUCACAUCCUGGGGCUGAAGUAGGUCCCAAGGGUAUGGCUGUUCGCCAUUUAAAGUGGUACGCGAGCUGGGUUUAGAACGUCGUGAGACAGUUCGGUCCCUAUCUGCCGUGGGCGCUGGAGAACUGAGGGGGGCUGCUCCUAGUACGAGAGGACCGGAGUGGACGCAUCACUGGUGUUCGGGUUGUCAUGCCAAUGGCACUGCCCGGUAGCUAAAUGCGGAAGAGAUAAGUGCUGAAAGCAUCUAAGCACGAAACUUGCCCCGA
Molecule: ribosomal RNA, 2873 nt
Filed under: Salmonella enterica subsp. enterica serovar Typhimurium
Lineage: Bacteria; Pseudomonadati; Pseudomonadota; Gammaproteobacteria; Enterobacterales; Enterobacteriaceae
Description: partial 23S ribosomal RNA
Rfam family: Bacterial large subunit ribosomal RNA
Source: RNAcentral